Molecule: ribosomal RNA, 281 nt
Filed under: uncultured bacterium
Lineage: Bacteria
Description: partial 16S ribosomal RNA
Rfam family: Bacterial small subunit ribosomal RNA
Source: RNAcentral
AGUACAUACGGGGGGCAGCAGUGAGGAAUAUUGGUCAAUGGGCGCGAGCCUGAACCAGCCAAGUCGCGUGAGGGAAGACGGUCCUACGGAUUGUAAACCUCUUUUGUCGGGGAGCAAAAGACGCCACGUGUGGCGUUCCGAGAGUACCCGAAGAAAAAGCAUCGGCUAACUCCGUGCCAGCAGCCGCGGUAAUACGGAGGAUGCGCGCGUUAUCUGGAUUUAUUGGGUUUAAAGGGUGUGCAGGCGGAAGAUCAAGUCAGCGGUAAAAUGGAGAGGCUCAA